UGGUUGUGUCAUUGUCCCCAUGUUACA
This 27-nucleotide non-coding RNA is filed under the name Mus musculus (house mouse). Lineage: Eukaryota; Metazoa; Chordata; Mammalia; Rodentia; Muridae. The record is from RNAcentral.